Molecule: ribosomal RNA, 428 nt
Filed under: uncultured prokaryote
Description: bacterial SSU rRNA
Rfam family: Bacterial small subunit ribosomal RNA
Source: RNAcentral
UGAGGAAUUUUGCGCAAUGGGAGCAAUCCUGACGCAGCAACGCCGCGUGGGUGAUGAAGGCCUUCGGGUCGUAAAGCCCUGUCAGGUGGGAAGAAUGUCCCGGGACUGAACAGGUUCCGGGAGUGACGGUACAACCAGAGGAAGCACCGGCUAACUCCGUGCCAGCAGCCGCGGUAAUACGGAGGGUGCAAGCGUUAUUUGGAAUUACUGGGCGUAAAGCGCGUGUAGGCGGUCCUGCAAGUCUGAUGUGAAAGCCCCGGGCUUAACCCGGGAAGUGCAUUGGAAACUGUGGGACUUGAGUACUGGUGAGGAUGGGUGAAUUCCCGGUGUAGAGGUGAAAUUCGUAGAUAUCGGGAGGAAUAUCAGUGGCGAAGGCGCCCAUCUGGACGGUAACUGACGCUGAGACGCGAAAGCGUGGGGAGCAAACA